CGGCAGGCUUAACACAUGCAAGUCGAGGGGUAACAUUGUGCUUGCACAGAUGACGACCGGCGCACGGGUGCGUAACGCGUAUAGAACCUACCUUUUACAGAGGAAUAGCCUUUAGAAAUGAAGAUUAAUGCCUCAUAGUAUUGUAGACUGGCAUCAGUUUAUAAUUAAAGAUUUAUCGGUAAAAGAUGGCUAUGCGUCCUAUUAGUUAGUUGGUAAGGUAACGGCUUACCAAGACAGCGAUAGGUAGGGGUCCUGAGAGGGAGAUCCCCCACACUGGUACUGAGACACGGACCAGACUCCUACGGGAGGCAGCAGUGAGGAAUAUUGGACAAUGGAGGAGACUCUGAUCCAGCCAUGCCGCGUGUAGGAAGAAUGCCCUAUGGGUUGUAAACUACUUUUAUACAGGAAGAAACACUGGUAUGUAUACCAGCUUGACGGUACUGUAAGAAUAAGGACCGG
Molecule: ribosomal RNA, 459 nt
Filed under: uncultured Polaribacter sp.
Lineage: Bacteria; Pseudomonadati; Bacteroidota; Flavobacteriia; Flavobacteriales; Flavobacteriaceae
Description: bacterial SSU rRNA
Rfam family: Bacterial small subunit ribosomal RNA
Source: RNAcentral